RNAcentral lists this ribosomal RNA (483 nucleotides) under uncultured bacterium. RNAcentral describes it as "partial 16S ribosomal RNA". It matches the Rfam family "Bacterial small subunit ribosomal RNA", at positions 30 to 507 of the family's 1533-position model. The record is from RNAcentral.
UUGCACGCUGGCGGCAGGCCUAACACAUGCAAGUCGAGCGGAUGAAGGGAGCUUGCUCCUGGAUUCAGCGGCGGACGGGUGAGUAAUGCCUAGGAAUCUGCCUGGUAGUGGGGGAUAACGUCCGGAAACGGGCGCUAAUACCGCAUACGUCCUGAGGGAGAAAGUGGGGGAUCUUCGGACCUCACGCUAUCAGAUGAGCCUAGGUCGGAUUAGCUAGUUGGUGGGGUAAAGGCCUACCAAGGCGACGAUCCGUAACUGGUCUGAGAGGAUGAUCAGUCACACUGGAACUGAGACACGGUCCAGACUCCUACGGGAGGCAGCAGUGGGGAGUAUUGGACAAUGGGCGAAAGCCUGAUCCAGCCAUGCCGCGUGUGUGAAGAAGGUCUUCGGAUUGUAAAGCACUUUAAGUUGGGAGGAAGGGCAGUAAGUUAAUACCUUGCUGUUUUGACGUUACCAACAGAAUAAGCACCGGCUAACUUCGUG